This 1398-nucleotide ribosomal RNA is filed under the name Dolichospermum circinale AWQC134C. RNAcentral's name for it is "16S ribosomal RNA". It matches the Rfam family "Bacterial small subunit ribosomal RNA". The record is from RNAcentral. Lineage: Bacteria; Bacillati; Cyanobacteriota; Cyanophyceae; Nostocales; Aphanizomenonaceae.
GAUGAACGCUGGCGGUAUGCUUAACACAUGCAAGUCGAACGGUCUUUUAGGAGACAGUGGCGGACGGGUGAGUAACGCGUAAGAAUCUACCCUCAGGUCGGGGACAACCACUGGAAACGGUGGCUAAUACCGGAUGUGCCGAGAGGUGAAAGGCUUGCUGCCUGGGGAAGAGCUUGCGUCUGAUUAGCUAGUUGGUAGUGUAAGGGACUACCAAGGCGACGAUCAGUAGCUGGUCUGAGAGGAUGAUCAGCCACACUGGGACUGAGACACGGCCCAGACUCCUACGGGAGGCAGCAGUGGGGAAUUUUCCGCAAUGGGCGAAAGCCUGACGGAGCAAUACCGCGUGAGGGAGGAAGGCUCUUGGGUUGUAAACCUCUUUUCUCAGGGAAGAACAGAAUGACGGUACCUGAGGAAUAAGCAUCGGCUAACUCCGUGCCAGCAGCCGCGGUAAUACGGAGGAUGCAAGCGUUAUCCGGAAUGAUUGGGCGUAAAGAGUCCGUAGGUGGCAUUGAAAGUCUGCUGUUAAAGAGUCUAGCUCAACUAGAUAAAAGCAGUGGAAACUACAAAGCUAGAGUUUGGUCGGGGCAGAAGGAAUUCCUGGUGUAGCGGUGAAAUGCGUAGAUAUCAGGAAGAACACCGGUGGCGAAGGCGUUCUGCUAGGCCGAGACUGACACUGAGGGACGAAAGCUAGGGGAGCGAAUGGGAUUAGAUACCCCAGUAGUCCUAGCCGUAAACGAUGGAUACUAGGCGUAGCUCGUAUCGACCCGAGCUGUGCCGGAGCUAACGCGUUAAGUAUCCCGCCUGGGGAGUACGCAGGCAACUGUGAAACUCAAAGGAAUUGACGGGGGCCCGCACAAGCGGUGGAGUAUGUGGUUUAAUUCGAUGCAACGCGAAGAACCUUACCAAGGCUUGACAUGUCACGAAUCCUGUAGAAACAUAGGAGUGCCUUAGGGAGCGUGAACACAGGUGGUGCAUGGCUGUCGUCAGCUCGUGUCGUGAGAUGUUGGGUUAAGUCCCGCAACGAGCGCAACCCUCGUUUUUAGUUGCCAGCAUUAAGAUGGGCACUCUAGAGAGACUGCCGGUGACAAACCGGAGGAAGGUGGGGAUGACGUCAAGUCAGCAUGCCCCUUACGUCUUGGGCUACACACGUACUACAAUGCUACGGACAAAGGGCAGCUACACAGCGAUGUGAUGCGAAUCUCAUAAACCGUAGCUCAGUUCAGAUCGAAGGCUGCAACUCGCCUUCGUGAAGGAGGAAUCGCUAGUAAUUGCAGGUCAGCAUACUGCAGUGAAUUCGUUCCCGGGCCUUGUACACACCGCCCGUCACACCAUGGAAGUUGGUCACGCCCGAAGUCGUUACCCCAACCUAUUGGAGGGGGAUGCCUAAGGUAGGACUGA